AUCAACUUGUCCUGUGGGAGAUAAAUAUGUAACGACCCGGUUUUCUCAACCGGAUCUUGUUUUCUUUCUCUCUAUAAUUAAUUGGACCAAACUCAAUUUAUUCCCUUUUGGUUUAGUUAAACCGUGAUUACAUAUAUAUAAAACGUGUUAUCUCCUUCUCGAUUCUAACCUAGCCGCAUACCUCCAUGCUUCAUGAUUUCUCAUCUCCUUCCCAUCUCUCUCGCCCAGUACAUGUGUCACUUCUUCUCCUUGUGUGCGUAAGUCUAUCAGAGAACCCGAUACGAGUCGCAGCAACCAUCCUACCUCAAGCGUUGUCCACAUGAGCAAAGACGAGAAGGAGAGAAGACGUACGAACCGGAGCCACCAUCUCAUCAUCACCAACCACCACUGAGUUGUGCCCCUGUGAACCUAAAUACACCAGACGUGUGACCUAUAGCACCAGAGAUACUUUUGUGCAGCAGAGAUUUCAUCAUGUCUUAAGCUGAGGAGAAGAGAUGGAUACAUCAGACCCAUGGCUGAGGAGUGGUUUUGCGAGAGGUUUCUAGUAUGAUCCAGGGGGUUCUAGGAAACGAGUCAUGGCUCUUUGGAUAGAUCUCGUUUCCAGGAGUCUGUAGAAACAAACGGAAUCAAGAUCGGAGUUGUACAGUAAAAGUUAUUGACAUGCUUCUUGGACAAGAAUAAGCUUAAGCUGUUGGAAUGCUGAAACAGUUCCAACCAGUGUUAGAGUAAAGGCGAAACGGUCAACCUUAACAAAAGCUUUCAGUCUGGAAAUUUUACACUUGUUUUCGUGAGAGGUGUUGGUGCAGUCUACGUUUGACCCAUCUGGAGACGAAGCUAUUUUGAUUAAUCAAAUGGUGUCCGAUCGGAGUAAACCCUUCGGCUACGGAUAUGUGACAUCUAUGGGUACAUUAUGACCGGAGGGAUUGAAAAGUUAACGAGACUUUCGGAGUUGCUGUGAUAGAGCCAUCAAGGUCUAUUCUGUGUUUCUCAGGUUUUCAUUAGAACCCGUGGCAAAGAUGAGACUGACGAGCAAGAGUGAUUGCUAUCGGGAUGGUGCUUUGGGAGUUUUAUUCUUGUCUUUUUCAGACUUGCGGAUUUUAUGCUUUUAUUGAUAUUUUCGGGAUUUAUUAUGUUAUUUGGAUUUAUGGCUAUUUAUUGAAUUUACGACUUUGGAGUGGACUUUUGAGAAGUAAUAAAUGGAGAUUUCAGACUUUUUAUUUAUUUAAGUUAUUUCGGAAAAUACGGGUGUUACAAUUUGGUAUCAGAGCGGGGUUCCGUCCCGACUCUGACCCGGGAUGGCGAUUUGUUAGGACGUGGUUUUGGCUCGGUUUUGACUCGGUUUUAAUCCGGUUUAAUCGAUUUUAAAAGAUUUUUGAAUUUGGGGAUUUGAGAGUUUUAAAGAAAGAAAAAUACAGCACCUUUCCGCUCAGUAACUUCUGACCCAAUUGUCUUUUUAUUGACGAUGAGUUUAUCAUCGUCAUCCGCUCUCUAGCUAACAAGGUUUCAGCCAGAUGUUCGAGAGAUGGAUGAUGUCACAGUUUGAUAGAUUGCUCAGGUGUGUAUCAGUUUCGUCAGCCGUGUUCAGAGAUUGUCCGCAUGUGGAUGUGUGACGUUGUUGCCACCACACAAACUUCAAACCAUCGCUCCACGAGUUUUUGUUAUUGGAGAUUAUGUGGUAUGAGAUGUGAGCCAUGAGUUGGCAUGUGUUAUUCGUGUGUAUGAGUAUAUUUACUGCCUUGGAGGCAUGGUUAUUUUGUAAACUCGUGGGGAUCACUUUUGGAUUGGGGUGCGACAGCUUGCGUUGUGUGAUAUUGGAGUUACGUUUGAUAUGUUUUCCAGUUUUUGGCAAUGUUGAUCAUUUCAGAGAUGUGUCAGUUCGGACAGCUGACAUAGAAACGUUGGGAGCUAUUUAUAUUGAUUGAUGUGUACCAGUUAUGCUUGGAGGGCCGAUUGGUUCAGAGACUCGUUAGAGAUGGAGUUUUGUUUUGCGAUAUCAUUCUUGGAUGGACUUGUUAUCACGACAUCAAGUACUGUUGGAUUGCCUGAGGGCAAGAGUUCACAUUUCUGGAGCAGAGCAGAUUUUAUUUGCAUACAUGCUACAUGCAUAUGAGUUAUUGGAUAUGGGGAGUAAAUGGAUUUUGGUGAUCAUUUCGAUGGUCAACAUGAGUUGCAGGAUCUUCUAGUUAUCUAAGAGUAUGGAGAUGUAUUUGAGGCCUUGGAAGGGCUGUCACCAGCCAGAGGAGAUGUUCUUAUGAUCGAGUUGGAGUCAGGGACAGCACUGGUUUCACGAGUUCCAUACUGAUUAGCGUUAGCAGAGAUGGCUGAGCUGAAAGAACAUAUGGAAGAUUAAUCAGACAAGAGAUUUAUUUAGGCCGAGUAAUUCGCUGUGGGGAGCACCAGUGUUGUUUGUAAAGAAAAAAAUGAUGGGAGUUUUCAGGCUUUGUAUCGACUACAUAGACUUGAACAUGGUAACCAUCAUAUUGAUGAGUUGUUGAAUUAGCUGCAUGGAGGUUCACGGUUCUCGAAGGUUGUCUUGGCAUCAGGACAUCAUCAGAUUGCUAUAGUUGAGGAGUAUGUACGGAAUGUGGGUUUCCGUAUAUGUUAUGGAUAUUAUGAGUUUUGGUGAUAUCAUUUUGGAUCGACGAAUGCACCGAUAGCAUUUGAGAAGCUUAUGAAUGAUGUCUUUCGUGAACACUUGGACAAGUGCGUGAUUGUACUCAUCGACGAUCCCAUUGAGUUAUUCUUGGAGUAGAGGGAGCAUGAUGAGCGUUUGCGGAUUGUGUAUUGAUGCAUGAGGAUCAGGUCAUCCUAUAUACAUUGCAUCAGUUGAGACCUCACGAGACCCACUACCCUAUUCAUGAUUCGUAGUGGCUGCAGUGGUAUUUGCGUUAUAGUUUUGGAGAUUGUAAUUGUACAGGAAGGAAGUUCAGAUUCUCUGGGAUCAUUGGAGAGGCUGAAAUCUAUCUUCAUUCAUUAAAACUUGUACUUGGACAGUGCAGUUGGAUUGAGUUGGUAGCAGGCUACAGUUUGGAUAUUGCAUACCAUCUGGUAAAGACAACCAGGUGACAAAUGCCUUGAGUAGGUACAUGAGCAACGUAUCAGGAACCAAAGAGGUUCAUGAGUUUACUGGGAUAUUUGCUAGUCUCAGAUUGUGUGCCAUUACUGUCGAUGGAGAGACAGAUGACCUUGGGACUUUGGAGCAGGCAGUUUUGCUAUGGAGGAUACCCCAAGCGCAUGUUAGCGUUAUGGCUUUGUAAGACGAUCGAGAUUGGGAGUAUUGUUAUCAUAAGUGUUGAGCGGGAUGUACCUGUACCGAAACCGAGUUGUGUGUUGGACGAUAAGCUGUUAAGAAAAGGGAUCUUGCAGCAAAUACAUCACUCGUGUUUCUCUACCCAUCUGAAACACCAAGGCGUACAAAGAUAUGAAGUGUUAAUUGUAAUUGGUCUAGUAUGAAGAGAGUUGUAGCUUCAUUGCGUCACAGUGUCAGAUAUGUCAGAUGGCUAUGACAGAGGAUCAGUUAUCUAUAAUGUUAUUUUUGAGCUUGCUUUUGCCGGAGUGGAAAUGAGGCAUGGUGAUUAUUGACAUUGUUAUUGGAUUUUAAAUCACCAUAUGUGGAAAGGAUGCCACAUGGGUAGUCAUGGAUAGACUUACCAAGUCAGCCCAUUUCCUAAGUAAUUAAGAAGACAUUCAGAGCUAAUCAGUUGGAGCACACCUACAUUAUUGAGUUUGGGAGGUUUCAUGGAUGUCAACAUUGUAUCGGAUUGGGAUUCGAAGUUCACGUCUACAUUUUUGGAGUCAUUCAGAAGGAACUUGGGACAAAGAUCCACAGGAAUACAACUUAUUAUCAGCAUACAUAUGGUUAGUCAAAGAGGACUAUUCAGACUUAGAGGACAUGCUCAGGGAUUGCGUCUUACAGUGGGAUGGAAGAUCGGAAAGCAUUACAUCUAGCAGAGUUUGCCUACAUCGACAACUAUCGUUCGAGCAUUGAGAUGGCACCGUAUGAGGCUAUUUAUGGUAGGCCUUGUCGUAUACCACUUUGUUGGACCAAAGUGAGGGAGUGACAUGAGUUGGAACUAUUAAUGGUUCAAGAGAUGGUAUAGAAAAUGGACAUGUUCAAGGAUUGGCUUUGGGACGCCCAUGACGGCAAAGGAUUUAUGCAGCGAAGCGCCGUAAGGAUUUGGAGUUACAUAUGAGUGAUCUAGUGUACCUGAAAACAAUGACAUUUCAGGGAGGACUUAAGACUCAUAAGCUGAAGCAACUAAAACCGAGGUACAUUGGACUGUAUCCUCCGGUGGAGCGAAUUGGAGCAGUUGAUUGCAGUUAUAUUAUCAGCAGUGUAUCAGACUUCCAUGACGUGGUCCAUGUGUCAAGUUUGAGGAAGGUCGGGAGAGGGCCAAAGCUCAUUUUGCAGCAGCCGCUAAGUGCUCAUGGCAAAAAAAAAAAAAAAUUGUAUGCACCUUGUCAGCCAAUAGAUAUUAUAAAUCGGCAAGUAAAAGAGGUUCAGGAGAUGAUGACCAUGUUGUUCAAAUGUGGUUGAGUAAGAAAAACAAGAUCCAGGAGGAGACCUAAAAGACUGAAACUCUGAUGAUGAUUGAUUAUCCAGAGCUUUUUCAGGAUGGUAUUUGACAGCCGCCUCAAGAUUUGAAUUCGAGGGCGAAUUCUAGUUAAGUGGGAAAGAAUUGUAACGACCCGGUUUUCUCUACCGGAUCUUGUUUUCUUUCUCUCUUUAAUUAAUUGGACCAAACUCAAUUUAUUCCCUUUUGGUUUAGUUAAAUCGUGAUUACAUAUAUAUAAAACUUGUUAUCUCCUUCUCGACUCUAACCUAGCCGCAUACCUCCAUGCUUCAUGAUUUCUCAUCUCCUUCCCAUUUCUCUCGCCCAGUACAUGUGUCACUUCUACUCCUUGUGUGUGUAAGUCUAUCAGAGAACCCGAUACGAGACGCAGCAACCAUCCUACCUCAAGCGUUGUCCACAUGAGCAAAGACGAGAAGGAGAGAAGACGUACGAACCGGAGCCACCAUCUCAUCAUCACCAACCACCACUGAGUUGUGCCCCUGUGAACCUAAAUACACCAGACGUGUGACCUAUAGCACCAGAGAUACUUUUGUGCAGCAGAGAUUUCAUCAUGUCUUAAGCUGAGGAGAAGAGAUGGAUACAUCAGACCCAUGGCUGAGGAGUGGUUUUGCGAGAGGUUUCUAGUAUGAUCCAGGGGGUUCUAGGCAACGAGUCAUGGCUCUUUGGAUAGAUCUCGUUUCCAGGAGUCUGUAGAAACAAACGGAAUCAAGAUCGGAGUUGUACAGCAAAAGUUAUUGAUAUGCUUCUUGGACAAGAAUAAGCUUAAACUGUUGGAAUGCUGAAACAGUUCCGACCAGUGUCAGAGUAAAGGCGAAAUGGUCAAUCUUAACAAAAGAUUUCAGUCUGGAAAUUUUACAGUAAGUAGUUAACUCUUUCAGUUAUCAUCUCCAACAAACAGAUUGUCAUUCCGAGUUAUUUUCUGAGAGUUAAGCUUGUUUUCGUGAGAGGUGUUGGUGCAGUCUACGUUUGCGACCCGUCUGGAGACGAAGCUAUUUUGAUUAAUCAAAUGGUGUCCGAUCGGAGUAAGCCCGUUGGCUACGGAUAGAGGACAUCUAGGGAUACAUUAUGACUGGAGGGAUUGAAAAGUUAACGGCUAGUUCUUGAGUUAUGCAUCUGUUUUCUCUAGGGUUCAGUUCUGGCAGAAUCAUCGUAUUCAUUUAUUUUCAGAGACUUUCGGAGUUGCUGUGGUAGAGCCAUCAAGGUCUAUUUUGUGUUUCUCAGGUUUUAUUUAGAACCCGUGGGCGUGGGUGCAGAGACGUUUGCAUUCGACGCAGCUUUGGAGGGCGGGGGUACAGAGACAGACUGUACUAGCGACGCAGCGUAUGUAUAUAUAUAUCAGUACGAGGAGAUGCGGGGUGUAUGAACUAGCUAUAUGCUAUCAUCGCAUUGUUUGUGUUGUGUUUGUGUGAUGUUUUAGGCGUCUUGUUUGUUCAUGUUAGAGCUAAACUUCCAUAGUAGGAGUUCUAUUUACUCAAGUAAGUGGUUUGCUUGUUUAGCAUCUCAUACCUCACGGAGUAACUCCCCUGUUACUCACCCCUCAUAUUCCUUCCCCUUUCAGAUGAGACUGACGAGCAAGAGUGAUUGCUAUCGGGAUGGUGCUUUGGGAGUUUUAUUCUUGUCUUUUUCAGACUUGCGGAUUUUAUGCUUUUAUUGAUAUUUUCGGGAUUUAUUAUGUUAUUUGGAUUUAUGGCUAUUUAUUGGAUUUACGACUUUGGAGUGGACUUUUGAGAAGUAAUAAAUGGAGGUUUCAGACUUUUUAUUUAUUUAAGUUAUUUCAGAAAAUAAGGGUGUUACAAAAUAUUUCAGGGUUUAUAAUACUGAUUAGGGGAUGAAAUGUUUUGGUUAAAAUCACAAUUUUAAUUAAAAUACAUCAUAUACAAAAAAAAUCUAAAUUUUUAUUAUAUGAUUAAUGUAAUUGUGUAAUUUAUUUUAAUAAUAAAUAAUUAAACAAAAAUGAUAGAAAGUAUACAGAUUGUUAGCAAAUCUUUGUUAUUUAAAAUCAUUAAUUGUCAUAUAUAUCUUAAUCACAUUAGGUAAUUCCGUAGGUUUAAUUUAAGGAAAAAAUAUAUAAUAAUUUCAAUUUGAUAAAUGAAUGAUCCAUAAUGGACAUACUAUAUAAUAUAACAUUCCCUACAAUUUAAUUUUAGCUAGCAAAAUUCUCAAUUGAUUCUAAAGCCGCCAUGUAAGCAAAAUUAGCAUUAUAAUUACGUGACAACUCAGCAGGUCACUUUUUUAAUUAGUACAAACUACAUGUUAUAACUUUUUAAAUGUUUUUCAAUUAAUAUAUAAGGGAUACCCAAACUAAGCCUAGUCGCCUAUAUAUUCAAAAAUAUAGGGACAUCCACACGUCUGACAUAACCCCUUAGUUAGUCGUUCAAACACGCAUCCAUAAUAAUGAUGGAAGCGUUUCAGAACUGUUUUCAAAACCACUUUCUCUUUAGUGCAAAAACCAGAAAAAUCAUUUAUUUUAUUUUCGUUUUGCAUCUCUUUAACCAUUAUCCAUUCUUUUAUUCAUUCACAAGAUAGUUCUAAUCUAGGUAUCGAAAUGGUUGCUUCCAAACUCGUAAAAUUAUCAAAAGAUCUAGCAGAUGAAACAAAUGUCUCUUUGCCUAAGGUGAUGUUCGCUGACAGCGAGGAACCGUGCGGCGUUAGGGUUCUCACCUAUCAGUCCUUGCGAGCGAUCAACACCAUCCUGACGAAGACGAGAUCCAAUAUCUCCUAGAGUCCUCAUUUGGUAAGAUAGUCGUUAUAGCUGAAAAACCUGUCUUUUCUAGAAGAUUUGGUAGAGUCCUUCUUUCCAGGCAACUAAAGGCCAAAAAAACAAGAAGCUUGGUUUCGAUUAGCUGGAAAGCAUAUUCGGUUUUCAUUGCGAAAGUUUUCCAUAGUGACGAGACUUGCUUGCGGCGACUUCCCAAAAAACCGAAGGUGUAGAAAAACAUUAACGAGAAACCCUAUUGGUCGGAGCUCUUUGGUAGUGUUGAAGAGAAGCGAGUAUUAAGAGAUGUGAAGAUGGUUAGGAAAAAACGGUUAGAAAUCGAGAUAUCCGGAUGAAACUCGCAUGUCUUGCAAUUGUUUCAUCCGUUUUGCUGUCCACAAAUCUCAAGAUGAAGAUGCAUAAGGAACAUGCUGAGCUGCUGGGAGACAUCGACGAAUUUUUUGCCUUCCCAUGGGGUCGACUAGCAUUCAACAUGCUGAUGACUAGCAUCAAAAAAGGGAUGAAAUUUCUCUAUCCUAAAAUACAAUAGCACUGAAAGGGUUCACACUAGAUCUACAGCUUGUAAUUGUUGAAGAUGUCCCUUUUUGACUAAAGUCGUUCAAGAAGCAUGUUCCUCAUCUGAAUCUGACAGCGACCAAAAUGAGAUUGAUUGUCUGGUAAGCAAAACAAAGAAGAAGACUUUGAAUCUUGCCCAUGCUCUUGAAGUGGACAGAAAAGCAGAGGUUCUGGUCAGAAGCAUUAUUCCACAAGAUCCAAAACGACUCUUCGAAGAGUCCCUAUUUGUAUUGGCAGAUGAAGUUACACUGACAUCAAAGUAGAAAAAAUUCUCAGGCUUAUCUAUGCAAAUUAUGUCUUCUCAAAGGAUAUGUUCAAAGGUGGAGAAACCAAAUCCGAUGUAGAGAAAAUGCGUGAGUAAUCCAAAGCUGCCACUAAAAAGAAGCAACCAAUUAACAAGCAUACACUAACUGUUGUCUUUGAUGAAGCCAGAGUUAGCUCAAUUUUUAUUUCCGUUCUGAAACCUAAGCUUCAUAGGGUUGAUGGGAAUGUUGCAGCGGCGCUCGCUUCCGUUAAAUAUUCUGCUCUCGCGUACAAAGCUUCUGUUGUUGCAGCCGUGGAGGCAAUGUUUACGGCUUUCAAAGCCGAAUCCUUUCUUCUGUUGCCCCCGAAUGCUCAGCCUGCCGCUCAGGCACAACAUUCUACCCUACCCCACCACGUGGAAACGGUGGCAUGGCCGGUAUCUCAGAACAUGCAGACAGAGGUGGUGCUGACGAAAAUGAUCAGAUUAUCAAAAAUGUCAUGGAAAAUCUUAGUCAAUAUUCAACCCCACCUGGUUCUGCUCAACGUUGUCAUGUAAGUGUGCCUGACCUUUUUUUUUCAAUUUUACCAAACAACGAGAUUACACAUUCACUGUAUCAUCUUAGACUUUUUGUGUAUGCGCAUAUGAUUGAAUCCAAAACCUAUUAUAUUAGCUUUUCUUAUCUACGUUUCGUACUUUCUCACUCUUACCAUUUGUAAUUAUAUCGAUACAAUAAUGGAGACAACUGGGUUAUUGUGGUUGAACAUUUUCAUUUUUUAAAUCCGGAUCCCAAGAGAUACUUCACGUUAUUGUGUUUUUGUCGUCACGUCCUGUUGACAACAUAUUCUCCUAUACCUAGAUUUAAUUUCAGGUUUCUAACGCCCGCUCACAACAUCGACAAUCCCACAUGCCCUCGUCUGCCCGUCUAAAAGAAAACAACCAGAAACUUACUUCUGGGUCGGCCCACAGCCAGACCCACAAGCGCACGGAACAAAUUCUAUGAUCCCUUCCUUUUCUUUGGGCCAGACUCAGGAGGACCCAACAGGGGGCGUAGAUGAUGAGAUGGCAGACAAUGACCAUGAAAAUGAGAUGGUAGACAAUGACAAUGAACUGGUCGUGGACCCAAAUGAUGAUACUAUUAUUUGUCGCAAAAGCAAGCGCUUGAGUAUUGUCCCUUCGACAUUGAUUACUAACUAACAAUGUGGUACUACCAUUCUUAACUAUGCCCGGGAGGGGCAAAUGUGUGGGAAUAGUGACUAUGAGGCGUCGGUUAUUCGUGAGAAGUACGUGCGCCUCACCACAAUACUCAAGAAACCUUGAUAACAGUUCUAUUCGUCAACAUAUUCGGAUAUCACUCAUCGAAGCUAGGAUUUUAUGUUUGAUACACAUAUAAAAAAAUUGGGCUUCGUACCCAAUCCUUGAUUUCAGUGUGAUCAACGUUGAUGGUCUGUCAGCCACUGGCAAGAACAUUAUUGACAUUAAGGAUAGAAACUGGUUGCUAUCUUAAAAGGUCUUAGAUAUCUUUACAAGGCUAGUUAGAUCAAUGUUCGAUAAUCAAGUUACUGCCAAAGGUGACAACACAUCAAGAUUUCUUGAUAGUCAGUUUGCGGCGAUGUUGCCUUGGAACUAUCCAAAGUUCAAAAAGGUCAAGCCGAAGGGGCAGGUGAAUUUUCUUAGAAAAAGUUACAGCUUUGUCACCACUGCAACGCGUCUCUAUCUUCCAUUCAACCUCGACAAAAAGCAUUGGAUUGGCUUAUGUGUGGAUUUCACAACUUCAAAAAUUUAUGUUUUUGAUUGCAACUCAGGACUUCAAACAAACACUGCGCUAGGUAAAGAACUCCUAUCUAUUUCAGAAAAGUUUAUAUUCCUUAUGAAGCAAUGUGGUGCUUCGGAUGUGGUUGUUGAUAAGCCACUGGCUGUUGAAAAAAUCAAAGGUGUGGCACAAAACACCAACCCAGCCAAUGCUGGAAUCACAACAUCUUUGUUGAUCCAAACACAUGCUCUCUUUGGUCCUUAAAUGUGUAGGUGUAUCACUUUGUCAAUCAUCGCGGAUGAAGCACAAAGGGCCGCUAUUAUGAUCUAUAAGUUUCUCAUGAAACUGUAGGACAUAUUUUCUUCUUUUGUUUAAAUCUUUCUUUUAUGAUUGCAUAACAAUGAUUCUUGUUGCUUUCUUCUGUUUCCGGAUUUCAUAUUCUGUUGAAUUAUAUUUAUCUUAAUCAUCACCUUUUUCAUUUGAA
Molecule: long non-coding RNA, 10323 nt
Organism: Brassica napus (rape)
Lineage: Eukaryota; Viridiplantae; Streptophyta; Magnoliopsida; Brassicales; Brassicaceae
Exons: 7
Source: RefSeq, a predicted model, not a curated record